UACAGGGGGGGCAAGCGUUGUUCGGAAUUACUGGGCGUAAAGGGCUCGUAGGUGGCCAACUAAGUCAGACGUGAAAUCCCCAGGCUUAACCUGGGAACUGCGUCUGAUACUGGAUGGCUAGAGUUUGGGAGAGGGAUGCGGAAUUCCAGGUGUAGCGGUGAAAUGCGUAGAUAUCUGAAGGAACAUCAGUGGCGAAAGCGACUUCCUGGACCAAUACUGACGCUCAUGUGCGAAAGCGUGGGGAGCAAACAGG
Molecule: ribosomal RNA, 253 nt
Filed under: uncultured bacterium
Lineage: Bacteria
Description: partial 16S ribosomal RNA
Rfam family: Bacterial small subunit ribosomal RNA
Source: RNAcentral